This 484-nucleotide ribosomal RNA is filed under the name uncultured bacterium. RNAcentral describes it as "partial 16S ribosomal RNA". It matches the Rfam family "Bacterial small subunit ribosomal RNA", at positions 30 to 507 of the family's 1533-position model. The record is from RNAcentral.
AUUGAACGCUGGCGGCAGGCCUAACACAUGCAAGUCGAGCGGAUGAAGGGAGCUCGCUCCUGGCUUCAGCGGCGGACGGGUGAGUAAUGCCUAGGAAUCUGCCUGGUAGUGGGGGAUAACGUCCGGAAACGGGCGCUAAUACCGCAUACGUCCUGAGGGAGAAAGUGGGGGAUCUUCGGACCUCACGCUAUCAGAUGAGCCUAGGUCGGAUUAGCUAGUUGGUGGGGUAAAGGCCUACCAAGGCGACGAUCCGUAACUGAUCUGAGAGGAUGAUCAGUCACACUGGAACUGAGACACGGUCCAGACUCCUACGGGAGGCAGCAGUAGGGAAUAUUGGACAAUGGGCGAAAGCCUGAUCCAGCCAUGCCGCGUGUGUGAAGAAGGUCUUCGGAUUGUAAAGCACUUUAAGUUGGGAGGAAGAGCAGUAAGUUAAUACCUUGCUGUUUUGACGUUACCAACAGAAUAAGCACCGGCUAACUUCGUG